AGACACUGAGGAUCAGGCAGAGAGAGAGGCUCCUGCCAGGCUGAGCUGUGCUCUGAGGAACAUUUCGGGAGCCUCCAGAACUGAAGAGGGGGCCAACUCUCUGGAGAAAAAUGAAUGGAUGUAGGCCCAAAGGAGCCGAAUGUUUUCCUUGGCUGAAUGGCAAGCAAGCACCAAGUGUCCACAGUUUCCGGAGUGUGGAUAUGAACAGCCGUCUUGGGUCCUGAGGUGGAAGCCAUGUGUGGAAGAUGGAGGGCAUCGGUUAGAAGGAGUCUAGUCCCUGAUGGUCACUGAGCUGCAGAACCAGCCUGGGCUGCUUCCUGCUGGAUGUCACUUACUAGAGAGCGAAAUUAAAUGUGCUUCAGCUACUGUUACUUUGGGUUUUCUGUCAUUUGUAGCUGAAAUAAUCCUAAUCAAUAUGAGAUAUAUUAAGUAAACAAAAAUGCAAAUGAAAACGAUUAUGAA
This 462-nucleotide long non-coding RNA is filed under the name Homo sapiens (human). RNAcentral describes it as "long independently transcribed non-coding RNA 2489 (LINC02489)". Lineage: Eukaryota; Metazoa; Chordata; Mammalia; Primates; Hominidae. The record is from RNAcentral.